RNAcentral lists this ribosomal RNA (470 nucleotides) under uncultured bacterium. RNAcentral describes it as "partial 16S ribosomal RNA". It matches the Rfam family "Bacterial small subunit ribosomal RNA", at positions 28 to 507 of the family's 1533-position model. The record is from RNAcentral.
GACGAACGCUGGCGGCGUGCUUAACACAUGCAAGUCGAACGAGAUCCCAUGUGUAGCAAUACACCGGAAGAUCUAGUGGCGAACGGGUGAGGAACACGUGAGAAACGUACCCCAGACUUUGGGAUAACAGUCCGAAAGGACUGCUAAUACCAAAUAACGUCGGAAGUCCGCAUGGACAUCUGACGAAAGGGAUUCCGGUUUGGGAGCGUCUCGCGGACCUAUCAGCUAGUUGGAGGGGUAACGGCCCACCAAGGCAACGACGGGUAGCUGGUCUGAGAGGAUGGUCAGCCACACUGGGACUGAGACACGGCCCAGACUCCUACGGGAGGCAGCAGUGGGGAAUCUUGCGCAAUGGGCGAAAGCCUGACGCAGCAACGCCGCGUGCGGGAAGAAGGCUUUCGGGCUGUAAACCGCUUUCAGUAGGAACGAAACUGACGGUACCUACAGAAGAAGGAGCGGCCAACUAUGUG